Molecule: long non-coding RNA, 1053 nt
Filed under: Homo sapiens (human)
Lineage: Eukaryota; Metazoa; Chordata; Mammalia; Primates; Hominidae
Description: DAB1 antisense RNA 1, transcript variant 4 (DAB1-AS1)
Source: RNAcentral
GCCAACAGGAGCUGGUAAUCAGGAUGGCAGUGAGGCAGGCACUUGCUUGCAGAAGAACAGGCCUAGUUUUUUAAGAAGCCACAAAAGUGUCUUUGGAUGAUUAGGAUCUAAGGGGCCAACAGCUUUGCAAUAACAGCAUAAAUAUUGUGGGCUGGAUGGACAGGCACCAAAUGGGGACAUUCCAUCCUGCUGUGUGAUGAGAAAGCUGCCACUUUUGAGGCCUUCCAAAACAAAUCAACACUCCAUAUGCCAGAAGGAAAAGCCCAGGAAAGACCUAUUCCAACUGGAGAUGGAAUACGAAGGGAGAAUGAAACAAAACUGCUCCGCUUAGGGAACUUGGAAAGGAAAUUGAAAAGGCAAGGCACAGGCUGGAAGAAAAUAUUUGAAAAAGAUUUAUGUGAACUUCUUUCUGGAUUAUACAAAAUAUUUUUAGAUAUUCUUACAACUCUAAAAUAAGAUAACUCCUUAAAAAUCUAAAUUCUACCAAAGGAGAGAUAAAGAUGACGAAUACAUUCAAAGAUGCUGAAAAUCACUUAUUUAUUAUUAGGAAGUUACAAGCUAAAGCAUAAUGAGAUACCACUACAACCUACUAAACUGACUAAAAUUAAUCAGACUAACCAGGUGUUGGCAAGAAACAGGGACACUGAGACUCUCACACUGCUGGAAGGAAUGUAAAAUGCUAAAACUUCUUUGGAAAUGAGUUCAGUAACUUUUUAAACAGUUGAAAAUAGACCUAUCAUGCAAACCAGCAAUCCCACUUCCAGGUAUUUAUACAAGGAAAAUGACAACAUAUGCCCACAUAAAGACUUGUGCACAAAUGACCGUAGCAGCUUUGUGAUAAUUGCUAAAAACUAGAAACUUGUCAAGUGUCCAACAGGUGAGUGGACAAACUCACUAUAGUAUAUCCAUACAAUUAAGUACUAAAUAGCAAUAAAAAGGAACUAUUAAUACAUUUGACAAUAUGGAUGUAAAUUAUAAUGCUAUGCUGAGAUAAAGAACCCAAAGAUUUUAUACAUAUGAUUCAAUUUCUAUAAACCGUUAGAAAAUGAAAAC